Apis dorsata (giant honeybee) is the source of this 738-nucleotide long non-coding RNA. RefSeq lists it as uncharacterized. The record is from RefSeq and is a predicted model, not a curated record. The transcript has 2 exons. NCBI's taxonomy places the organism in Eukaryota, Metazoa, Arthropoda, Insecta, Hymenoptera, Apidae.
UAAGAAAGGAAGUUAAACAAUGAAGAAAGUAUAAUUGUUCUAUUGUAAAUAGAACUAUUGUUCCAGUCUUAAUUAUGUGAUUGAGGUUAUGAACAUGAAUGAGGUUAUGGACAUGAAUGAACAGAACUACAAUUCUUUAUUUGAUUGUUAAGUUGAUCUACUUCUUUAAAUACAGAUUUCUAUGAAUUUCAGUGAAAUAUAUUAUUAAAUAUUUAAAAAAAACUAUUUAAAAAAAGAUAUAGAAACAGUUGAAUUUAUCAAAAAGAUAAAAAAAAUAGAUCAAAAGAAAAAAACUUUUCAAACAAAGAACAAUGAUCGGUAUAACUGGAAGAACCACACAAGUAAAAAUUAGACAGUCAGCAAAUAGGAAACGCACGAAAGGGAAAGCAAAAGAGCGAAAGCAUCGCAUCGAUGGAAAGUGAAGGAGGGUGAGAGGAGGUUGGCGGAAAAAUGUGGAAAGAGACUGAGCUAAAUUAAAGGGCGUCGCGAACAAAGGCGAAUGUGCUUCGAGAGCAAAACAGGCUGCGAGUAGUAUAGGUAUACGCUACAUAGGUGGCCAUGGGGGUGUCUACGUUUGCCUCUUCGUGUCAGAUCUAAGCGCGUGGCUGUAGUGCUGUUGUUGGCUGACGAGAAUAGAGAUGGAAAGCGAAGAUACGCAGUGAAUUUCAAUGUGUUCUGUGAUUCGUGCCCAGAAAACUAUUUUCCUCAACGUAGUUGAAGAGAAAGAAAAGAAUGAAU